Xenopus laevis (African clawed frog) is the source of this 68-nucleotide non-coding RNA. NCBI's taxonomy places the organism in Eukaryota, Metazoa, Chordata, Amphibia, Anura, Pipidae. The record is from Rfam.
CCGGCAACAAUAUCCUGAUGCCGUCUGAGUGUGCGGGAUAGCUCCAGCAUCAGUGAUUUUGUUGGUGG